RNA transcript from Centrocercus urophasianus (Greater sage-grouse), 7143 nucleotides. It is a transcript of the gene named mitochondria localized glutamic acid rich protein, with no coding region annotated. NCBI's taxonomy places the organism in Eukaryota, Metazoa, Chordata, Aves, Galliformes, Phasianidae. The record is from RefSeq and is a predicted model, not a curated record. The transcript is spliced from 4 exons.
UCGUUCGGUGUGGGGAAGAGGAGGCUCAGGGGAGACCUUACAGCUCUCUGCAACUGCCUGAAAGGAGGCUGUGGCAGGUGGGGGUCAGCCACUUGUCUUGUGGAAGUAGUGAUGAGACCGGGGGGAACGGCCUCAAGCUGUGCCAGAGGAGAUUCGUGUUGGAUGUUAGGGAACUUGUUUUCUCUUGCGGAGUGAUGGGGUGCUGGAACAGGCUGCCCAGGGAGCUGUUGGAGUCACUGAGCCGGGAGGUGUUCAAGAGACUUUGAGAUGCCGUUCUGAGGGACAGGGAUUAGUGGGGAAAUACUGGUGGUAGGGUUAGGAUGGAUUAGAUAAGCUUGUAAGUCUUUUCCAAACUUAGAGAUUCUGCAAUUCUAUGAAUAUUUAGGUAAUAAUUCUACAAAAGCUGUGUGUAAGUAAAGGCAUCAGCUGGUAAAUGCAGAGACCGUUCAGUUAAGAUCACCUUUACUGAAAAGAGGAUUUUACAGCGUGCAUGGGGUGGAUAUUGCAGUAAAAAAUCAAAAUACAGCAUGCAGAGGAAUACUCAUAGUAUUCUCCUUUACUGAAAAAGCCGCAAGUAAUUCCUUUCUGUCUACUUGUGGUGGCAAUGCAAACCAGUGCAGGAAUUUUCGUACUGAUUUUUUGGGCAGUCUUUCUCAUCGUGGAGUGAAACAACUUUUCUCCAAACCAGCAACGUUGCUACUCUAGAACUGUCUUAAGUGAAUAGGUGUACAGAUUUAAGGGAGCCAGGCACGCCCCACCUUCUCAGCUCUGUUUAUCAACUUCUCACAAAUACAUUCUUGAUCUAUUUUAAAAUGUGGCAGAUUUUGACUUUAAGCAAGUUCUACUGCGCUGCCAGUUUUGUUUUAGUAGCUUUUUGAACUGUCAGCAGGGAAUGUUUUGCUCUGAGUGUCCCUAUGUUUCAGGGACAUCCCAGAGACCCACGGUAGAGCUCACAGAGAUUUUCACUGCAUGUUGUGUAAAGAUAAGCAUCAUAUUUUGGUGCGAGUUGGUCUCUUAUAAACAAAACAAAGAGGAAACAUGUUCAUCUGUCAAUAGAAUACUGUUCUGCUUUUUCUCCUUUGGAAUAACUGAGUGUCUCUGGAUAUGUCAUAGGUAACUUAAAUUCUGAAAGCCUUUUUUGGUUCUUCGGUUUGAGUGCAUUCUGUGGCUCCAGGCAGAUUCCAUUGGUAUUAUGCUGGCUAUCGGGUAUUAUUUUAGCUUUGUAAAGCCAAAUUCUUGUGCAGAUAACAUUUGCAGAAGUAAUUGAACAUGACUUGCUGUGUGAAAGAUAGCGGUCUCCUCAUGACUGCUGGGGGGGGAAGGGGGAGGUGUGUGUGGAAAAAAUAGAGCUAUGAGUGAGAUGGUUCAGAAAAGUGCGUUUUUAAUAUAGUAAGCGUGUAAUGAGUAACAUAAUAAGCAGUGUAAUGACACCUACUGGCUAUUUUUAUUGGUAAUCUAUAAAUUGGUGUUGUUAGACUGCUUAAAAAUAAUCCCAAGUGGUCAACAGCAAAGCACUGGGAACAAGGAGAGCGCUGCUGCUGUGCUAAGUGGCCAAAGGUGGGGGAAGUAUUGCUGUGAGAGUGAAGUUCUGAAUUCCCAGAGUGCCCUCCACCCCCAGCUGUGUUGUUUGUGCUUCUAAAUGUGGACUUUUCCCUCUUCCCAUGCAGCACUGCAUCAGUCCAUUUUCUCUAUCUGCCUGUACUGGAAAGGGUGUUUUGCUUUCACAAUGUGGAACGUUUCAUCUGCGUGAGGAGUCAUUUCUGUACAUAAAUAUUUCAUUUGAUUCUUUUCUUAGUGAUUGUUAACUAGCUGCUACUGUAAUGGAAGUUUGAAGACCUAACUCUCACAUUAACAUGCUUAACAGUGCAGACAUGACUCUAGAUGAGUGCCAAAGGUGCUGGGACGUGGCUGCCAGUGGAAGUAGGUUCAACUUCAGAAGAGAACUGUGAGUCCCAGACAAAAGUCCAGACUGAUUCCCUUCUGAGAAGUCCCUCAGGGAAGUUUAAAGCUUGUUUAGAAAGCUUCAAAGCUUUGGGGGAAGAUGUUAUGAAAGUAGUAGGAUCUGAAUUCUGAAAAUCUACCCCUAUGUUGUUGCUAUUGGCUAGAGAAGGUCAACGCGUGUGAUUUGAAAUUGCUUUUUUAAAUUAUUAUCUGGACCAAACAUCAGUCAGUCAUAUGGGCAUGCAAGUCCCUGCUUAUCAUGUUUAUCUGUUCUGCUGGGAGAAUGCUGAGCUUGCUAACGUUAAGACCAGUCAAUUGAAAAUCACAGAGAAGGCAGAAACGCAAUGCAUUUGGAAUGCUGUCUGUUCUGUUGCGAACACGCAGAGAAGUCCUGCCUCCUCGAUGCUGGAACUUCUUUAAUUUGUAGGACUAAAAACUGUGUUCUUAGAGAUAGUAGGAAUGGUAACUUUGUACUUAAGGAAGAUUUUUUUAACUGAAAUGGUAGGGAUACAAUUCUCUGCAAAUGGUACUUCUGGGUGGGACUAGAUAUUGGACACGGCCAACUGGAGCUUCCUAAUGCUGCUGCUUUGUUUAAAAACAAAACAAAAGCUUAAUUUCCUUUUGUCUGAAAAGUCAAUUUCCUUCUCCAUACUCGCUCAAUUCAAAACAGGUGGGUUUCCAGAGCAAAAGCAGUUGGGCAUUGUUUGAUGUGUGUGUAUUGCGCAGUUGGUUCUUGCCCAAUCUUGUUUCUACACGCAUAGUUUGGAAGGGCAUAUUUCUUCUCUAAAUAGUGACAUGUGGUUCAGGAUGAAUCAUUUGAGAUAGAUUGGAACGCUCCAAAUGUGUUUUUUAAAAGAUGCUGAGGAACUGCAGUAAUGUUGUGUAGUAGCUGUGAUCAAGCAGCUGGGCAUUCAGUGCAACAAAUGCUACCAACAGUACUUAACUACCGUGUGCCUUCACUGCAGAGAGGCAAUGAACAAUGCAGGUUAUUUUCAAAGCGCAUAGAAAAUGUACAAAAGCUGAUGUAAGUAGAGAAAAUGGGUCCCAGUCAUUGCUGUGCAAAUGCUUCAGGAUUUCAGGCUUUCAAUCUGAUCAGUCUUCAGGGAGCAACACCAUCAGUUAAGAUGUUAUAACAUCUCUGGAGCUCUAUUUUGAAACAUAAAGAAGCUUAAAUUUUGUAGAAUUGUAGAACUAACGGAAGUGAGAAGUGAUUUCAUGAAGUUAAAUCAACAUGCAGGGAAACAAAAAGGAGAAAUACCAGAGCUUGGCGCUUUGUGCUACUAGUUGAUCAAUAAAAGAGGCAGGUGUGGUGAUCUGUUGUUAUAUUUAAUGUUCUUUACAGAUGUGAUACUGGAAGAGAGGGUAACUUCAGAUUGUUCUCAGGUAAUCAUUAACGUGGAGUUGCCCUGGGAUCACUGGGAUUCCCUAGAGCAGAGAAAAAUGUGUUUACCUGGUGAGUGGAACGCAGCAUUUGUUCCAAGAUGGAGCCUCUUACAGAGCAAGGAAUAGACUUGUUUUGGUAUAUCAUGUUCAUGUUCGAGAUACCUUUCAUGUUUAAGGACUGGUACGACACUGUGUUCAUCGUGAUGCCAUCUUUGGGAGAUGUGUUGGCAAUGCAAAUACAGGGGAGGAACACCGCGCUUCUCUGCAAGCUGUUCAAUUUGAAAUUGAACAACCAAAAUCAACCCAAGAUCCUCCCCGAUCUGUAUGCCCUACUGCUCCUUGGACUAUGGAGCACACGUGACACUAUCCCGGGGAACAGAAUGGUAAUGUAAUGGAUGACCACAUAGAGUGGCUGAUUGCAUUUCCACCUAAGUUCUUAUUGUAGCAAUAUGGGGAAGCUAAUAUCUUGCAAGUGUUAUAUAGUUUUCUAUAUCUAUACUGAUAUAGAAUCAUUGGUGUUGGAAGGGAUCCUUAAAUGUCAUCCAGACCAACUCCCUUAAAAUGAACAGGGAUGCCUACAGCUACAUCAGGUUGCUCAGAGACCUGUCCAGCCUUAGCUUGAAUGUCUACAGUAAUGGGUCUUUCACCACCUCUCUGGGCAACCUGUUCCAGUGCUUUACUGAACUCCAUAUACUUAUAUAUAUAUAUAUAUAUAUAUUUUUUUUUUUUUUAAGAUAAGCUUUUAUGAGGUUGAUGUGAGGCACCUUCUAGUUGCAUAUAUGUCAAGAAAUCUGCACUGGUAGCAAUAAUUACAAAAUGAGCAGGACUUAUUUUCAUAGCGCUCAAAACACCAAACGACUUUCAGUAGCCAGUCACAGUGGCAAUAGGCAGUGCUUAAACGAUCUUCCUGGGCCAGCCCAAAUCUUUGCUGAGGAUAAUGUGUGAAGCAGUGGGUAGUGACUGCCUAACCUGCCACGGCUGAUAUGGCUGUGGGCACACAUAUUCUGUAUAUGAGCUGUUUCCAGCCUUUUCCUCUUGAGAAGAGCACUUGCGGUGCGGCACCAGAAAGGUCCCUCCAACAGAAUUCUGUCGGUGUGCACUCAAAGGGUAAGUGUGAGUGCUGCUCCACUUUCUGAAGGAUCAAAGUACAAGGUAGAGUGUUCUGAAGUGACCAGGGACAAUUGCUCAUAUGUACAGACAAACAUUUUCAAAACUGCAGUGCCUAGGUUAGGAUGUGAUAGGAGAUAUUUUACUGGAGUAAAAUUUGGAAUAUAAAUAGUGGAUAUUAUGUUUGAUCUUCCUGCAGAGUGUAGACACGCGUAGAGGUACUAAUGAAUAGACAUAGUAUGGACUUGACUACACAAAUGUAUUGCCUUAUCCUUAAGGAGAACUGAAAAAUGGCUAGUUGGCAAUCAUGCUGUGCUGGAAUUGCAGCCUGGCCCUCCAGCCUGAAGUUAGGACACUUUUUUAACAUUAAGUCUCCUAAUUGCUUCUUUGCAAGGAUGCACAGAGUAUGAGUGUUACGUGUGAUGCUGUUGAUCAAAUGAGGAUUAUUUCUACGCAAUCUUAACCAUCGGUAUUUUGCGUGUCAUUAACAGUUAGGGAGAAAGCAGAAAAUAAAAGCUGUAACUGAAAGAGAACGCACAGCUUAGGAUCUUUUUUCUCAAUGUGUGGAAGCAGCUCACAUUCAUAUCUUUUUGCCUCAGGGCUAGGAAGAGUCAGAUACCUGUUGUGACAUUUUAUGGAGUUCCGCUUGGAGAAAUGUAUUUGCAUAGCAAAAUGUAAUCAUCUUGUAUACCCUGUUGCCUUCAAUUACUUCCAACACACCUGGUAGGCGGGCACUUUGCUCUUUGUGAGCCUGACUGCUUUCCCUCUCUUGUGCUGGUGAAUGGAGGGGGAAGACAAGACAAUUAUCUGUCUAAUUUGAUUCAUAGAAACUGUGAGUGAAGUCUUGGAUGUUGCAGCUGCUUCUGCCCCUGAGGAAAACUUGGACAAUGUUGAGGAAGGAGUAGCCUCAGCAGCUCAAGAGAUGUCUGACACAGCCACGAGGAACCAGGACGCUGAUGCUGAGGAGUCGGGGAGAGCGUCAGAAGUUUCUGAGGAGGAGAAGGCACCUGGAGAAGUUGAUAAGGAACCCUGAAGUGAGCUGCACUGACGCCUUUGAAAAGUUUACCAGAAAAGUCUGUGGCAAUCGACCAGCUGAUUCCUGUGAGAAACCUCAGGCUCUUCCUUGGAGACAUAGAACAAGCUGUGCAGUUUGUCUCACCACACGUUACAUGUUAGGACCGGUGUUCAUUGCUGCAACAGACAACCUAAUACGACUUAAGUUAGUUAGACAGGCGCUGCUGUCAUUAACAACUCUGCUUUAGAAAGUAGCACCCAGCACCAAGUGCCAGAGCGCCACCCAGCAUGCAACAGAUAGAUGUGCUAAAUGAAGCAGUAGGCUUCACCGUAUCCCUGCCAGGUGAGCUUGUUCUAGUUCCUGGUUGUCCAGGUGUCUACUUUUGUUUCUUACUUUAGGUCCAAACUGCGGUGCUUCAUUGUGCCGCCAUCACAUUCCGCUCCAAAAUGGAAGUUAAAAGUUCUAAGCAAGUUAAAACCUUAUGCGAAUUACCUGUUUGCAGUUGUAACCAUUGGACCUUUGGCUGUACAAAACAUCUGGUUUUCCUUCUGUGUAAGCAUUUUACAUGCUAUGCUUCCUCGCACCAUAGAAGCCCAGAGUAAACAUUUUUAUAGCUCUUGCUCUGAGGACAAGAACUGUGUGCAUGUAGUAGCAAUAAGUACUGUAUUGCAGCUUGACAGAAACAAUGAGCAUCAAAAGAAAGCUGGUUGAGGUUGUUUUUAUUGCUCAGAGUGGUGGCUCAUACUUGGGGGUGCUGAGCCCCCUUCCUACCAAGCUUAGUUCGGUUUGUUAUAAUCUUUGUUUUGUUCUGCCUUAGCAGUAAGUGGCAUUAAAACAAACAAACAACAAAACAGCAUUGAGAGAAGACUCUUGGACAAAUGAGCAGAAAUGUAGGCUGUUGUGAAGCUCCUCUCAGAGCUGGCGUGUGGCUUGCAAAAUCCCCAUAGGUGGCUAUGGCACAGGUGUUUAAACGGAUGAGGAUCUUUAGGGUCUAAUGAGGAACAGAAUAGCUAUGGAAAAUCAGAACAAGCAGUUUGUGUCACAGUACUUUCCCUCUGAGAGGGGCGCGUUGCAAGUGGGACCAAAUGUGAAAAAGAGCAGGGAAAAUUAUCUACAAGACCCUUCACAAGCCAAUAGCCUUCACACUCCCCCCCAGUUUCUUGGCUUGUCAUUGUUGUCUUAAUAAUGAAAAUAUCUCUAAUAAUCAGUUUGCAUGCUGAUGCUGUCCUAACCCUGUUCUGCUAUUUGCAGGCACACAGUUGUGUAUCUACUAAAAAGUGUUUACGGAGAUCCUCAUCAGCUAGCAAGUGUUGCAGCCAUCACAGCAUAAUAAUAAUUCUAAAUGAAGCCUACAUAAAGUAUAGUGUACACAAUUAAUAUAGUAACUCUGAACCAAAAGGUCUGACUGCUUUCUCUGCAAGCAGAAAUUUGAAGAGAUGCUGGAAGGGUAAUUACAGUGUUAUUCCUACCCAUUGUGUAGAGAAAGUCAUGCUGUUUCCUUUAUUUAUAGUAAAUAAUUAGUGUCUCAACAGAAAUAUGGCCUAAUGCCUCUGCACUUGUUUGUAAAUACCUGGAAUAAUGCUGAAGCAAAAUCAGGCUCCGGAGCACCACAAAGUUCUCCUACUUAAAGGGUAAAGCCUCUGUGAUUAAACUGUUUUUACAGACAGAGCUACUGCAAUAAAAGUCUAAGGUUGAUA